This 611-nucleotide ribosomal RNA is filed under the name Enterobacter cloacae. RNAcentral describes it as "bacterial LSU rRNA". It matches the Rfam family "Bacterial large subunit ribosomal RNA", at positions 2320 to 2925 of the family's 2925-position model. The record is from RNAcentral. Lineage: Bacteria; Pseudomonadati; Pseudomonadota; Gammaproteobacteria; Enterobacterales; Enterobacteriaceae.
GCUAAUCCUGGUCGGACAUCAGGAGGUUAGUGCAAUGGCAUAAGCCAGCUUGACUGCGAGCGUGACGGCGCGAGCAGGUGCGAAAGCAGGUCAUAGUGAUCCGGUGGUUCUGAAUGGAAGGGCCAUCGCUCAACGGAUAAAAGGUACUCCGGGGAUAACAGGCUGAUACCGCCCAAGAGUUCAUAUCGACGGCGGUGUUUGGCACCUCGAUGUCGGCUCAUCACAUCCUGGGGCUGAAGUAGGUCCCAAGGGUAUGGCUGUUCGCCAUUUAAAGUGGUACGCGAGCUGGGUUUAGAACGUCGUGAGACAGUUCGGUCCCUAUCUGCCGUGGGCGCUGGAGAAUUGAGGGGGGCUGCUCCUAGUACGAGAGGACCGGAGUGGACGCAUCACUGGUGUUCGGGUUGUCAUGCCAAUGGCACUGCCCGGUAGCUAAAUGCGGAAGAGAUAAGUGCUGAAAGCAUCUAAGCACGAAACUUGCCCCGAGAUGAGUUCUCCCUGAGACUUUAAGUCUCCUGAAGGAACGUUGAAGACGACGACGUUGAUAGGUCGGGUGUGUAAGCGCAGCGAUGCGUUGAGCUAACCGAUACUAAUGAACCGUGAGGCUUAACCUU